AGAGAGAGAGAGAGAGAGUAAGAAUAUGCUGAAACUCUCUUGGUUUACCUUAGCUUCAUUGUUUUUGUUGGCAGCAUUAUCAGAAGCCAACAACUCCAAGCCUGGUCGCCAAAAAGAAUGUGAGAAUCUCACAGCUUCCUACCAAUUUGACAUUGGGAAAGGAGGAUCAUGUUCCAUGGACGAGUAUUGGUUUGACACAGUAAACUGCAGCAGUUUCUAUAUCCCACUAAAAUCAUUCUUGGGAAGAAGUAAUAUUAUUGAGGUGGGACAACUUUCUCCAUCCCAGGUACGAGUAAAUAACUCAGUUGCUUAUAGCUGCAACACCAUUAAAAUGGGAGCAAUAUUAAUGUUGUUGUACUCUAGUUCUACUUCUCAUCAUGUUGCUGCAGUGGACUUGAGUACUGGCAGCACACAAAACACAAUCGCUGAGACUGUGAACUUGACUGGCACCCGGUACGCAAUCUCCGACUCUGCAAACAAGUUCACAGUAAUACACAAGGGUUGUGACUACUUUGGUUUUAUGGGAGGGUCAACUAAGGUGCUCAGCGGAUGUGACAAGGUAUGCAACAUGAUGAACACUUCGACUCAUCAUAGGUGGUCUUCUGGUAGUAGUGGCUGUUGCAAUUCUUCCACUCCCAAAGCCAUUAAUAAGUCUCUUGUGUCUGAGGCAGAGACAGAGAGUAUGGGAAACAUUAGUUUCUGGUUUAUCAUAUGAGUAGCUGCAGCAAACGAACCAGGUUCAGGCUCAUCUUUCCUAUGUUGAUGGUAGGAGACAUGAACAGCACACGACAAGAUGCGCUCAUCAUGUUUCCAUCAUCCUAUUCCUGAGAAGUCUCUAGUUCUCCUAAACUAUAUCCAACUACUCCCAGAAUCCACACACGUACGAAACUGGAAUACCUCAUGAAAAUUGGCAUAGGUUCUUCGGACACACAUCUAUUGGACACAUUCCAGACUAUGACCCGGAAAUAUAAUUACCGCAGGAAAGCAGACGUGCUCGAGGUUACAUCCCACAACAUAUCAAAGUCUUUCCAUGCUCGGCAAAGCACACUCUAGGUCUCGGCUUUUGUUUCGCAUGUCUUUCAUUUGUGAUAUCUGGAAUUUAUUUCAGUGUGAAGAAGCAUAAGUUUAUUAAGCUAAAAUCCAAAUUCUUCCAGAGAAAUGGAGGGUUAUUGUUAGAGCAGCAAAUUGCUUUACAUGGAGGCACAACAAUUUUAACAGCCGAGGAACUAGAUAUGACUGCUGACUGUUAUAAGAAGA
Non-coding RNA from Prunus avium (sweet cherry), 1257 nucleotides. The record is from RefSeq and is a predicted model, not a curated record. Lineage: Eukaryota; Viridiplantae; Streptophyta; Magnoliopsida; Rosales; Rosaceae.